This 235-nucleotide ribosomal RNA is filed under the name uncultured bacterium. Its description in RNAcentral is "partial 16S ribosomal RNA". It matches the Rfam family "Bacterial small subunit ribosomal RNA", at positions 96 to 334 of the family's 1533-position model. The record is from RNAcentral.
UGGCGGACGGGUGAGUAAUGUCUGGGAAACUGCCCGAUGGAGGGGGAUAACUACUGGAAACGGUAGCUAAUACCACAUAAUGUCUACGGACCAAAGCGGGGGACCUCCGGGCCUCGCGCCAUCAGAUGAACCCAUAUGGGAUUAGCUUGUAGGUAAGGUAACGGCUUACCUAGGCGACGAUCCCUAGCUGGUCUGAGAGGAUGAUCAGCCACACUGGGACUGAGACACGGCCCAG